Molecule: long non-coding RNA, 2602 nt
Organism: Phasianus colchicus (ring-necked pheasant)
Lineage: Eukaryota; Metazoa; Chordata; Aves; Galliformes; Phasianidae
Source: Ensembl
AUGAAGAGUAGGUCAGCAAGGACUAGUGCCAAAUGCAGGAAGAGGAGGAGUCAUUUUGUCCAAUCUUUACUUUGCAACUGUUACCAAUGGGUUCUGUGGGUGAUUUCAGAAAAUGAACAGAAGAUACAUCAGAUCUCUCCUGUACUUUGCAGAAACCACUGCCUAUGGACUUGCAGUAAACAUUCAAGUGAUUCAAGCCUCUUUAAGGACUGUGAAUUUCUUGUGAAAAAUUCUUGUCUGAAACCUAUUUUUCUAAAGAACAGUUUUCUGGGACAUCUUUCACCCAACAUCUCAUUGCUCAGACUGCCACAGAUAUUUAAUGUUUUUACUGAGAUGACAGCAGUAAAGCUGCAGUGUCAAUCAUGUGCACCGAGACGACAAAUCUAGACUAAAUUCGUGUUCCUGUAAGCCUUCCAUCACUCAGAGAUUAUACAAAUCCAAACCUUGAUUUUUCCAGCAUCUCAGACUUCCAUAUUCACAUUCACUGGAUAUGUUGUCUGAAAACAUCUGAUGUCUUUGUGUUCUUGAAGUUACUGAAUGUUAAGGAAAACCUGCCUUGAGUUUUGGAGUUAGACCAACACAGAGAAAAACAAUUCUGAAGAGCAUACUGAAGAGCAGCUGUGAAAUCACUUUGUUCCCUUCCACAGUUUAUUUCAGUUUAUGUAAAAUGAGCAGUAUUGAUAUUGUUUUCCAUAAUCAGUAUUAAAGAACUGCCUCCACUUGAGCACAUAUUUCCCCUUUGCAUCAUCCCUAUGACAUUCUCAAUGAUAGAGUAAAACAUUAUUGCAGCUUGGAAGAGGAAGAAUGCUUCAAGUCCCAAGUGACAAUGAAUUGUACAGAAAAACUUGCGCUGUGCCCUUACCAUAACUCAAUCACCACAUUUUUUGUGAGACAGUAGUUAGGUUAGUUUAUCUUUAUUUGAGGAGACUAUGAUAGGAUUUACUGAAAAAGCCAAGCACUAAGGAAAUAGUGAGUGGCGACUCUAAGUAAAUGCUAUUAGUGUGUGUUAUGUUAUUAAUUGCAAACUAACAGUUGUAACAAUCUCAUACAUUUUUGGCAUAAAUAUUAAUAUCCUUAGAAUAUUACAUAUAAAACACCUUCAGACUCAGCCUCCUUGCUUCACUAAAUCCACUAGCUACGGUAAAAUGGAGUUAGAACUGUAAGAAUUGCCCAUGUGAGGAACUGCAAGAACUUCAGUUACGAGGACUGCUCCGAAAAUAAUGCCUCUUAUUUUAUUUUAUUUUUAUUUUUAAUGAUGUCAGAGGCUGAUGGUGGUGGUAUGGCAGUAGAGGUUGAACCUUCCUACCGGUAUUCUAUUAUAUUUUGUUGCUAUGUGACAGAUGGCAGCAGAGGGGCAGUCUGACAAAAUGGCGUCUGGCAUGGAAAUGCAUAUAAAAGUAUGAAACUGAAUUCCUCCAUGUGGAAAAAAUAGCACCCAUUGACAUUCACUGAUGCUUGCUGAAGCUUUAUGGAGACCAAAGAGUGAAUGUAUUACUUUAGUCAUAACCAGACAAGCCAAAAUGAGCUUGAAAGCUAUUCUUGCUUUUACCUCAAACAUUCCUUACUGGUUUAUAGGCUUAUAUUAACCUCACCUCAUGCAUAACCAGUCUGCUGCUUUUUCACUAGAUUUAAUUUGUAGUCCCAGUCUGUCUUUAGAAUGCUUUGAUGCCUUUUAUGUUCAAGUCUUAAAACAUGCAUAGUCGGUCUUCAUGGUGUAGUUAUUCUGAAAACCUUCCUUGAUAUCUUUAUAUGAUUAAGAAUAAGAAAAAAGAAAAAAAAAAGCUGUAAAUUCUGCUUUAGAAAUAUUUGUACUGAUUUUUUCAGACAAUGUUUCUGCAAAUUGCUCCUACUGACACCAGAGAUUGUAUUUUCUCUCAGAAAACAUGAUUUUUUCUUCCUGUUCAAAUUUGCUUGUAAUGCUCCAUAACUUUGCUACAGACAUUCUCCCUUAAGCUAUAACUGAUAUCAGGAUUUCUCCUUAUGUCAGUAGUGGCUAUGGUAUUGCUCAGAAAAAUUAUGAGAGAAACAAAGGAACUUAUUAUUCUUUGGUCAGUUAUCUUAACCAGGUGGGCAGAACAUCUGGUUCAUCUCUGUAGGGACAUUUCCUUUUAUUCAUAAAAUAUUUCUGACAUUUUGAAGUCCUUAUUGAGCAAGAAGCAUCAUAGAAUCACAGAAUUGCAUGGGUUGGAAGGGACCCCUACAUCUAGGCCAUCUAGUCCAACCUUCCACAAGCAUUGAUUGAAACAGUACAAAAGAAGUGCUCUUCCUAGGCAGUUUUUGUCUUAGUAAAAGUAAACUUCCAGGUUUUUAGAAUAAGUUUUUUGUUUUUUGUUUUUUUUCUUAUACUUCAGUGUUAUCUUUUAGACUUUGCCCAAUCUUAUGUUUCUCCUAGGAAGAAGAAAAAAGGUCUCAUAAAGUUACUGACUGCACCCAUUGGUAAAAACAAAAAAACAAAAAAACAUGGAGGAAAUAUUUUAAGUGUCCUUCACAUUCUCUUUCACUAUUUAAAGUUCUGCAAAUUACUUAUUAACUAACAGAAAAAGUAACUGGAUCACUUCAGUUAAAAACAAACAAAUAAACAAAAAACAAACAAAAAAACCCC